GGUCCACUAAGGAAUUGUCAGAUCUAACAGCAAUUCUGGUUUUGUUGUUAUUUAUUAGCGGAUGUGGAGUGUAUUUCAGUUCCUUAAUAUAUACAAUCAAGGCUUAUAAUUUUAUAAGCUUUAUAAGACCAUUUACAGGUAUAAUAAUUUCAAUGGCUGUGUGCAUUCCGUUUGUAUAUUUAGGACAAAUGUUGUGCAACAAGUUUGAAGAAUUUUAUAACGCACAAUUAAAGUAUCCUUGGCUGUACUGGAAUAUCAAAAAUAAGAAAAUGUAUCUGAUGUUAUUAAUAAGCACUCAAAAAGUUGAAGGAAUAACUUUUGCUAAUUUGGUAAAUAUUGAUUACAAAUUAGUCAAUCAGGUAAAUUCAUAAAUACUUUAAAUUUAUUUAUUAAUUCUCUUUAUCUACAUUUGUUCGGGUUUAUAGGUCGACGUUUGUUGGAAUUGUUUCCUGACGUUUCGCCAGCACGAGUGAUUAGCAUCUUCAGAGGUAUGAUUUGUCUCGUGUCUCUUUGACAUAUGAUUGACAACUAAAUGACAACACAGAUAACUGAUGUUCGAGAAAUUUCGUUCUGUUCUUUGGCCAUUCUUAUCUGCUUAGCGAUUUUGGUGUUUUUGAGUACUGGUGUCCAUAUUUUAUCAAGUUUCAGUGUUUCAUCCUAUCUUUGUCAGAUCUGAGACUGUGUUGAAUCUUCCUCGUUGAUAUAUUUAUAUGGGAGAAAAGGUCACUAGGUGGAUCUUUAUAAUUAGUAUUAGGUCUCAUUCGAGAUGGUGUGUGGCACAUGUCCUUUUGGCUCGUUCUAUUAGCAUUUUGAUGGCGCCCCCGUUUUUGGCAAAGAUGAUGGUUAGAUAAAUUAUGUAGAUACCGAUCAGUGUGAGUAGGUUUUCGGUAUACUAUGUUAUAUGGUCUAAAUGUAAACACCAUCGCUAAGUAGAUAGAACGGCCAAUGAACAGAACGAAAUUUCCGGAACAGUUGUCUAUUUUGUCAUUUAGUUGACAAUCAGAUGUGUAAGAGACACGAACCAAGUCAGACCUCUGAAGAUGGUAACCACUCGUGCUACCGAAUCGUCAAGAAAUAAUUCCAACAAACGUCGACCUAUAAACAUGAACAAAUAUAGAUUUGGAAACAAUGGUCGCAAAGGUCUUAACCUUUACAUUAUAUUAAUACUCUUAUUUUUAGGUUAUAAAAAAAGUGUAUGGUGUUUUUUCAUUUUUCAUAAAAAUUACAUAAGAGGAUCUUUUAAAAUAUAUUGUAUGUUAAAUCAAUAAAAUUUAAUAACUAAA
Molecule: long non-coding RNA, 1283 nt
Organism: Aethina tumida (small hive beetle)
Lineage: Eukaryota; Metazoa; Arthropoda; Insecta; Coleoptera; Nitidulidae
Exons: 5
Source: RefSeq, a predicted model, not a curated record